RNAcentral lists this unclassified non-coding RNA (266 nucleotides) under uncultured fungus. RNAcentral's name for it is "partial contains 5.8S ribosomal RNA, internal transcribed spacer 2, and large subunit ribosomal RNA". The record is from RNAcentral. Lineage: Eukaryota; Fungi.
AACGCAUAUUGCACUCCUCGGUAUUCCUUGGAGUAUAUCUGUUUCAGUAUCAUAAAGUACUAUCAAGCCUUUAGGCUUGGAAAUGGGCUUCGUAGCAGACUUUCUUCUACUGGCCUGAAAUUCAUUCGUGGCCGCUCUUGUCAAAGAUAGAGGCGUCAUAGUUGACUUUCGUCAUCUUUCGCUGACUACUUUUGAAAGUGCAUUAGACUACGUUAAAUUUUUCAUCACUUGAUCUGAAAUCAGAUAAGAUUACCCGCUGAACUUAA